GAUAUCACGUGAAGAUUUUUAUUUAAACCAGGAGUCUAUGCGGUCUUAACCAUGGAAAUUAUCAUUCAUUCAUCGCAAACAUUUUAGACGUUUAAAGAUAAUUAGAUUACUUUAACAGUGGAUACAAUAGAAGAAGAUACUGUACAGCCAAUUAUCUGAUCUGGGUCAGGCAGAGGCCUGGAGAACAUCAUAGGCACCACUGGACACAAGGCUGAGGCACGACCGGUACAGGAGGCCAGUGAAUGACUGGACUGCUAAAGAAACUUUGUGGUCAAAAUGUCAACCUCAACUUCCGGGCUCCCGUAUGCCCCAUGGACCGGAUGCACCAUGUUCGCUGUUUCUGAAAAACCGCAAGGUCUCCAGAGUCGUGGGAUCUGCUUGAGCCACAUGCCUGCAGGCCAAGGACUAUUUUGCCCUUCUGGACCAACACGUGGAGUGGUGGUGCACCCCUGUGGAGAGUGCCUGAGGCUAGCGCACUCCCCCUGCGGGCAGGAGAGAUAUUAGCAAGGCCGACUUCUGCAGAACCUGGCCCAGCAAGGGCCGUCUUUGAUUCUGCCUCGCCUCCAGAGCCCGACUUCACCUCUGCCAUCAAGAAGGGCCACCUCGCCUACGCCUGACCCAGUCGUCCCACCCACACCAGACCCAAGGACCCCGACUCCUCCCUGUCUCUUGACGUCCUGCAGGCACCCACCUCGCAGCCUCCAGACUCGCUGCUGAUGGAGUUCUCUUAUCUCCACUGGCUGCCACUGGGUUGAAGCCCAACCCCCGGCCACUAGGCUGAUGCCUGACUCCCUGGCUGCCGCCAAGCCAGUUUCAGUUGACCCAGAUGAUGCCAAACUAGAGGACUAGGAGUGGGAUUCUCUGGGCCUCAUCCCAAGUCCCAUUCCGUGGACCCCCACCUCAGCCCAACGCUCGCACCAAGCUGGUCUCAAUUCCCGGUGAGGUCAACGGUGCAAGCUGGGGCCCAGAAGAGGGGCAGGCCAAGUUUCCAUCCCCAGGAAAUAUGGACACACUAUGUACGCCAGCUGCCCAGACCCUGGCCUACCCAACAAUGUCUGCAUGGGCACCUGCUGUGGCCAUGGGGAGAGAAACCGCGGCACGCUCUAGCUCCUGCCCUGCAGUCCCCUCGGUGCCCAUCUGCCCUGCAUUCCCCUAUGUGCCCAUCUGCCCUGCAGUCCCCUCGGUGCCCAUCUGCCCUGCAGUCCCCUCGGUGCCCAUCUGCCCUGCAGUUCCCUCGGUGCCCAUCUGCCCUGCAGUCCCCUCUGCCCUGCAGUCCCCUCGGUGCCCAUCUGCCCGGCAGUCCCCUCGGUGCCCAUCUGCCCUGCAGUCCCCUCUGCCCUGCAGUCCCCUCUGUGCCCAUCUGCCCGGCAGUCCCCUCGGUGCCCUCUGGUCCUGCUGGCCCCUUGGCACCCUCCGGUGAUGCUAGCCCGUCGGCACCCUCCGGUGAUGCUAGCCCGUCGGCACCCUCUGGCCCCGCCGACUCUCCAGAUGUCCCCCGUUUUGUUCGUCAAGCCUUAGUCCCUGAUCCAGUGCCUUGUCCUGCCAUUAUUUUUGCCUGGUCUGUAUCCCUUGUGGUCCUCUCCUAUGUUUCGGUCCUUGCUUCUGUGGUUCCUCCACCUGUCUGCCCUGUUCUGGUGUGUG
Molecule: long non-coding RNA, 1641 nt
Organism: Paramormyrops kingsleyae
Lineage: Eukaryota; Metazoa; Chordata; Actinopteri; Osteoglossiformes; Mormyridae
Source: RefSeq, a predicted model, not a curated record